CCUACGGGCGGCUGCAGUGGGGAAUAUUGCACAAUGGGGGAAACCCUGAUGCAGCAACGCCGCGUGAAUGAGGAAGUAUUUCGGUAUGUAAAGCUCUAUCAGCAGGGAGUAGGAAAGAAGGUACCUGAAAAAAAAGCCCCGGCUAACUACGUGCCAGCAGCCGCGGUAAUACGUAGGGGGCAAGCGUUAGCCGGAUUUACUGGGUGUAAAGGGAGCGGAGACGGAGAGGCAAGUCAGAAGUGAAAGCCCAAGGCUCAACCAUGGGAAUGCGUUUGAAACUGUCAAACUAGAGUACGGGAGGGGUAAGAGGAAUUCCUAGUGUAGCGGUGAAAUGCGUAGAUAUUAGGAGGAACACCAGCGGCGAAGGCGUCUCCCUGGACCGAAACUGACGUUGAGGAUCGAAAGCGUGGGGAGCAAACAGGAUUAGAUACCCGGGUAGUC
RNAcentral lists this ribosomal RNA (441 nucleotides) under uncultured bacterium. RNAcentral describes it as "partial 16S ribosomal RNA". It matches the Rfam family "Bacterial small subunit ribosomal RNA", at positions 338 to 795 of the family's 1533-position model. The record is from RNAcentral.